This 447-nucleotide ribosomal RNA is filed under the name uncultured bacterium. Its description in RNAcentral is "bacterial SSU rRNA". It matches the Rfam family "Bacterial small subunit ribosomal RNA", at positions 330 to 792 of the family's 1533-position model. The record is from RNAcentral.
UCCAGACUCCUACGGGAGGCAGCAGUGGGGAAUAUUGCACAAUGGGGGGAACCCUGAUGCAGCAAUGCCGCGUGAAGGAUGAAGGUUUUCGGAUUGUAAACUUCUUUUGUACGGGACGAAGAAAGUGACGGUACCGUAAGAAUAAGCCACGGCUAACUACGUGCCAGCAGCCGCGGUAAUACGGAGGAUGCGAGCGUUAUCCGGAUUUAUUGGGUUUAAAGGGUGCGUAGGCGGAAUGCCAAGUCAGCGGUAAAAUCGCGGGGCUCAACCUCGCUCCGCCGUUGAAACUGGCGUUCUUGAGUGGGCGAGAAGUAUGCGGAAUGCGUGGUGUAGCGGUGAAAUGCAUAGAUAUCACGCAGAACUCCGAUUGCGAAGGCAGCAUACCGGCGCCCAACUGACGCUGAAGCACGAAAGCGUGGGUAUCGAACAGGAUUAGAUACCCCAGUA